UGCGAUUCGCGUUCUAUCGUCGCUACACGCGUUGCUGAGGCUCCGCGCGCCGCGAUUCGCUUUGUGGUUAACGCGACAAUAACAUUUACCGACAAUGAGAAGAUAGCCCUCGGGGUGCUGCAGGGCUGAUAAGGCAUUCUCAUCACUUUAUUCGAAACUCUGACGAACCCCAUCCCACCCCCUUGGCUGUAACAAAAAAUUCAAUUCGAGUUCUACUGCUUUUGAUAGGUCGAGGACGGCCCUGGAUAUCGGACCAUCUUCGAUCUUCCCUCAACCAAUUUCCAACGUUCGAGUUUAUACACGGAUCUGGUUUCCCGCAGCAGCACAUCAAUUAUUAUUCGAGGUCAAAUGAGUGACGUGAGUUGAUUAAAAUUAGAACCUUGAGCUUGAUUUUGUUUUUGAAUACUUUCAAUUAUUCCUGCAUCGCCGCGUUAUCGCCAGACAAUUUUUUUUUUCUUUUUCUUUUAAAUCUUUAUGUGUUCAUUUGUAUUUUUCAUCAAUGUUUUUAUUAUAAACAAAAAAGCGUUAUUUUAAUUUAGAUGAUUUUUUUUACAGCGUUGCAUAAGUGUUAAUAAAAAGCUUACGAUAGAAACAUAGGUAUUCAAUAUAUCUAUGAUAGAAAUGUAUAUAUGCGUAAAAUUUAAGCGAAGGUGUCGGUCAUUUAUACUUCACAUAAACAUAGGUAAAUCAUAGUUACAGUCAACAGUCAAGAUGCCACAACGUCAUAUUGUGUGCUGCAAUAAUGGAG
RNAcentral lists this unclassified non-coding RNA (748 nucleotides) under Athalia rosae (coleseed sawfly). RNAcentral's name for it is "misc RNA ENSAEAG00005002776.1". Lineage: Eukaryota; Metazoa; Arthropoda; Insecta; Hymenoptera; Athaliidae. The record is from RNAcentral.